Molecule: ribosomal RNA, 909 nt
Filed under: Metarhizium sp.
Lineage: Eukaryota; Fungi; Ascomycota; Sordariomycetes; Hypocreales; Clavicipitaceae
Description: partial large subunit ribosomal RNA
Rfam family: Eukaryotic large subunit ribosomal RNA
Source: RNAcentral
GCAUAUCAAUAAGCGGAGGAAAAGAAACCAACAGGGAUUGCCCCAGUAACGGCGAGUGAAGCGGCAACAGCUCAAAUUUGAAAUCUGGUCCCCAGGGCCCGAGUUGUAAUUUGCAGAGGAUGCUUUUGGUGAGGUGCCUUCCGAGUUCCCUGGAACGGGACGCCAUAGAGGGUGAGAGCCCCGUCUGGUUGGAUACCGAGCCUCUGUAAAGCUCCUUCGACGAGUCGAGUAGUUUGGGAAUGCUGCUCUAAAUGGGAGGUAUAUGUCUUCUAAAGCUAAAUAUUGGCCAGAGACCGAUAGCGCACAAGUAGAGUGAUCGAAAGAUGAAAAGCACUUUGAAAAGAGGGUUAAAUAGUACGUGAAAUUGUUGAAAGGGAAGCACUUAUGACCAGACUUGGCCCCGGUGAAUCAUCCAGCGGUUCCCGCUGGUGCACUUUGCCGGGGUUCAGGCCAGCAUCAGUUCGCUCCGGGGGAUAAAGGCUUUGGGAAUGUGGCUCCCUCGGGAGUGUUAUAGCCCAUUGCGUAAUACCCUGUGGCGGGCUGAGGUUCGCGCUUUAUGCAAGGAUGCUGGCAUAAUGGUCAUCAGUGACCCGUCUUGAAACACGGACCAAGGAGUCGUCUUCGUAUGCGAGUGUUCGGGUGUUAAACCCCUACGCGUAAUGAAAGUGAACGCAGGUGAGAGCCCUCCAGGGCGCAUCAUCGACCGAUCCUGAUGUUCUCGGAUGGAUUUGAGUAAGAGCAUACGGGGCCGGACCCGAAAGAAGGUGAACUAUGCCUGUAUAGGGUGAAGCCAGAGGAAACUCUGGUGGAGGCUCGCAGCGGUUCUGACGUGCAAAUCGAUCGUCAAAUAUGGGCAUGGGGGCGAAAGACUAAUCGAACCUUCUAGUAGCUGGUUUCCGCCGAGUCCCC